AGCAGUAGCCGCGGUAAUACGAAGGGUGCAAGCGUUAAUCGGAAUUACUGGGCGUAAAGGGCGCGUAGGCGGACAGUUUAGUCGGGGGUGAAAGCCCGGGGCUCAACCUCGGAAUUGCCUUCGAUACUGGCUGUCUUGAGUGUGAGAGAGGUGUGUGGAACUCCGAGUGUAGAGGUGAAAUUCGUAGAUAUUCGGAAGAACACCAGUGGCGAAGGCGACACACUGGCUCACUACUGACGUUGAGGCGCGAAAGCGUGGGGAGCAAACAGGAUUAGAUACCCCAGUAGUCCCUGUCUCUUAUAA
Molecule: ribosomal RNA, 303 nt
Filed under: uncultured bacterium
Lineage: Bacteria
Description: partial 16S ribosomal RNA
Rfam family: Bacterial small subunit ribosomal RNA
Source: RNAcentral